Molecule: ribosomal RNA, 464 nt
Filed under: uncultured bacterium
Lineage: Bacteria
Description: partial 16S ribosomal RNA
Rfam family: Bacterial small subunit ribosomal RNA
Source: RNAcentral
CUACGGGGGGCACCAGUGGGGAAUAUUGCACAAUGGGCGCAAGCCUGAUGCAGCCAUGCCGCGUGUAUGAAGAAGGCCUUCGGGUUGUAAAGUACUUUCAGCGGGGAGGAAGGGAGUAAAGUUAAUACCUUUGCUCAUUGACGUUACCCGCAGGAGAAGCACCGGCUAACUCCGUGCCAGCAGUCGCGGUAAUACGGAGGGUGCAAGCGUUAAUCGGAAUUACUGGGCGUAAAGCGCACGCAGGCGGUUUGUUAAGUCAGAUGUGAAAUCCCCGGGCUCAACCUGGGAACUGCAUCUGAUACUGGCAAGCUUGAGUCUCGUAGAGGGGGGUAGAAUUCCAGGUGUAGCGGUGAAAUGCGUAGAGAUCUGGAGGAAUACCGGUGGCGAAGGCGGCCCCCUGGACGAAGACUGACGCUCAGGUGCGAAAGCGUGGGGAGCAAACAGGAUUAGAUACCCCCGUAGUC